Molecule: ribosomal RNA, 395 nt
Filed under: uncultured bacterium
Lineage: Bacteria
Description: bacterial SSU rRNA
Rfam family: Bacterial small subunit ribosomal RNA
Source: RNAcentral
UAGGGAAUAUUAGUAAUGGGCGAAAGCCUGAACUAGCAACGCCGCGUGUGCGAAGAAGGCCUUCGGGUUGUAAAGCACUUUUUGAGAGGAUGAGGAAGGACGGUACUCUCAGAAUAAGUCUCGGCUAACUACGUGCCAGCAGCCGCGGUAACACGUAGGAGGCGAACGUUAUCCGGAUUUACUGGGCGUAAAGCGCGUGUAGGUGGUUUGGUAAGUAGGGCGUGAAAGCUCCUGGCUCAACUGGGAGAGGCCGUUCUAAACUGCCGAACUAGAGGAUGGUAGAGGGAUGUGGAAUUCCGGGUGUAGCGGUGGAAUGCGCAGAUAUCCGGAGGAACACCAGUGGCGAAAGCGGCCUCCUGGACCAUUCCUGACACUCAGACGCGAAAGCUAGGGUA